RNAcentral lists this ribosomal RNA (223 nucleotides) under uncultured bacterium. RNAcentral describes it as "partial 16S ribosomal RNA". It matches the Rfam family "Bacterial small subunit ribosomal RNA", at positions 524 to 776 of the family's 1533-position model. The record is from RNAcentral.
UACGUAAAAGACUAGUGUUAUUCAUCUUUAGUAGGUUUAAAGGGUACCUAGACGGUAUAAUUAGUCUUAAACAAGAAACGGUUAUGCUAGAGUUAUAUAUGAGGAGGUGAGUAUUUAUGGAGUAGAGUUGAAAUUCUUUGAUACCAUGACGACUGGUAACGGCGAAAGCAACCUUUUAUCUAAUAACUGACGUUGAGGGACGAAGGCUCGGGUAACGAACAGG